Molecule: long non-coding RNA, 625 nt
Organism: Saccostrea cuccullata (small rock oyster)
Lineage: Eukaryota; Metazoa; Mollusca; Bivalvia; Ostreida; Ostreidae
Exons: 4
Source: RefSeq, a predicted model, not a curated record
AAUUUUAACAACACCGAAAUUCAAAAAUAUCGAAUACCAUGUUGAUGUUCCACAGUAGGAAAGUUGGAAUGAGUGUCACGAACAGGGGGAUCAUGGUCAGCUUGGGAUGGAAGAAGAUGACGACAUUUUUAAGACCGUUGCUGCAUUGCCUGAGAUGAUUUUCACAGCCCUGGCCUUUGAUAAAAGUGCAUAUACAUGUAGAUGCUUAACCAAUCAGUCACUAGGCUUGUGAAUAUGGAAUCCGGAUGCUCACAAGAGUUAGGACAAGAACUGUAUAAAAAAAUGAAAUUGUGCAAGGAAAGUUUGAAGUGUCUGUUUGAAUGAUCAACAUCGAACUUGCUGAGCCUUCGUACUAAAAGUGAAUCCAUUGGUGAUGCCAAAUAUCUGUCAGCCCUCUAUUGCAAAUUUCAUGGGAUAUCUGAGGAUGUGAUUCUAGCAACAUGUCAGAAGUUUUGUAUCUUCCAUAAUUGGGAUCUUUGGCACGUACAUUGGUGGAAAAUAGCAACUGUUCAUUUUUAUGGGAUCUUUGUAUCAAUGUAGUUGUGUACUACAUAUAUUUUUGCAUUUAAUACAUGUGUUUGUCACUCUAGUCACUAAUUUUGUACAGUAAAUGUACAUUGGCCAC